AUGGUUCACUAUUCAUUUGACCUGGAAAACCAAAUCAUGCAAAUCAGGGUUCAAAUCUUCAUGUUCACUUUAAGAACACCUGUGAAACUGCCCAGACCAUCAAGCGUAUGCAUGUACAAAAAGCCACUGAGUUGUCUGAAAGAUGUCACUUUACAAAAAUAAUGUCUACCAUUCUAACAUUACAGUGGUGGAGUUGGUAGCUGUGCCCAGGCCAAACAGUGAGGCUGAACACAGGAUCAGUGGCCUGAAAAGAGUGCUGAUCUUUUGCUGCACAUGCUUUAAAACACAGAAUCAUGCUGUACUUAGGGGUUUAGAUGUAGAUUCCCUGGUCACUGAGCCUAUCCAGGUGAACAAGUAAUCCAAGAUGCACGGCUGAACUUACUUAAAGAGCCAUACAUGAGCUCCCCCUGUCACAUCGAGGUGACCCUUACUGAAAAGAAUCAAAUUGUUCCUAAACCAGAAGAGGGGGUUGCAGAGAAGAAAAAGAUAUCCCGGAAGAAACUGAAGAAACAAAAACGUAUGACAUUGGAA
This 531-nucleotide long non-coding RNA is filed under the name Homo sapiens (human). RNAcentral's name for it is "non-protein coding lnc-LYPD6B-3:1". Lineage: Eukaryota; Metazoa; Chordata; Mammalia; Primates; Hominidae. The record is from RNAcentral.